AGGAGCGGUGAUCAUGGAGAUUGAGAUAUGCUGAUCUGCAGGAGCUGUAAUAUGGUUAACACAAACAAGCUUUACUGAUGCAUAUAAGAAGAAGAAACCCUCGAUUCAUAUUCUGAGCUAAAAUGUUUAAGAUCAAAGGGGGUUUUUGUUAUGGCUGCAAUAAAAUGGGAAAUCAAACAAUGCUGUAUCCAAAGGGCAUAAAUGUUUUGCAAAUAGGGAAUACAGAGGAGAGAAGGGUGGGAAUUUCAAGAAGUCGGGGAAGAAAU
This is a long non-coding RNA of Populus euphratica (Euphrates poplar), 266 nucleotides long. RefSeq lists it as uncharacterized. NCBI's taxonomy places the organism in Eukaryota, Viridiplantae, Streptophyta, Magnoliopsida, Malpighiales, Salicaceae. The record is from RefSeq and is a predicted model, not a curated record. The transcript is spliced from 2 exons.